UACGGAGAGACGGCGGGAGGAAAAGAAGGAGGACUAGAACAUGGGGCCGCUUUUUGGAGGAGAAAUUAAGGAGGCUGAGUGGUCGAAGUUCUCACCUGACUGGAAGUGAAACCACAGCUGGAUGGUGCUACAACAAGAAGCUCAGAAAAACAACAGGAGAUGAGGUAGAGGAGGAACCACAUUCUGCACUUCAUAUGCCACAGAACUUCACUGUCGAGUGCAAAGCGUGCAUGUCCUUCAUUAAUCGGUCUGGAUAAGAAUAUCUGUCAAAUGGCUCCAAUACACAGAACCGACGGUCCUCUCUACUCACAGUCCCAUCCAGCUGAAGUCCAGCUGAUCGUCACACUUUCAGGUAUGGGAGAGAACAACCACAGAACAAUGAAUACAUGAAACAAUACAAAACUUAAAAGUUCAUUUGUUUGAGAUAAUAAUAAUAAAACAAAAUAAAUAUAAUACAUAAAC
Molecule: long non-coding RNA, 462 nt
Organism: Amphiprion ocellaris (clown anemonefish)
Lineage: Eukaryota; Metazoa; Chordata; Actinopteri; Pomacentridae
Source: Ensembl